Molecule: transfer RNA, 74 nt
Filed under: Oryza sativa Indica Group (long-grained rice)
Lineage: Eukaryota; Viridiplantae; Streptophyta; Magnoliopsida; Poales; Poaceae
Rfam family: tRNA
About the family: Transfer RNA (tRNA) molecules are approximately 80 nucleotides in length. Their secondary structure includes four short double-helical elements and three loops (D, anti-codon, and T loops). Further hydrogen bonds mediate the characteristic L-shaped molecular structure. tRNAs have two regions of fundamental functional importance: the anti-codon, which is responsible for specific mRNA codon recognition, and the 3' end, to which the tRNAs corresponding amino acid is attached (by aminoacyl-tRNA synthetases). tRNAs cope with the degeneracy of the genetic code in two manners: having more than one tRNA (with a specific anti-codon) for a particular amino acid; and 'wobble' base-pairing, i.e. permitting non-standard base-pairing at the 3rd anti-codon position.
Source: Rfam by way of RNAcentral
GCUGGAAUAGCUCAGCUGGUUAGAGCGUGUGGCUGUAAACCACAAGGUCGGAGGUUCAAGCCCUCCUUCUAGCG